This 492-nucleotide ribosomal RNA is filed under the name uncultured bacterium. Its description in RNAcentral is "partial 16S ribosomal RNA". It matches the Rfam family "Bacterial small subunit ribosomal RNA", at positions 29 to 507 of the family's 1533-position model. The record is from RNAcentral.
AGUGAACGCUGGCGGUAGGCCUAACGCAUGCAAGUCGAACGGCAGCACAGUAAGAGCUUGCUCUUACGGGUGGCGAGUGGCGGACGGGUGAGGAAUACAUCGGAAUCUACUUUUUCGUGGGGGAUAACGUAGGGAAACUUACGCUAAUACCGCAUACGACCUACGGGUGAAAGCAGGGGAUCUUCGGACCUUGCGCGAUUGAAUGAGCCGAUGUCGGAUUAGCUAGUUGGCGGGGUAAAGGCCCACCAAGGCGACGAUCCGUAGCUGGUCUGAGAGGAUGAUCUGCCACACUGGAACUGAGACACGGUCCAGACUCCUACGGGAGGCAGCAGUGGGGAAUAUUGGACAAUGGGCGCAAGCCUGAUCCAGCCAUACCGCGUGGGUGAAGAAGGCCUUCGGGUUGUAAAGCCCUUUUGUUGGGAAAGAAAAGCAGCAGGUUAAUACCCCGCUGUUCUGACGGUACCCAAAGAAUAAGCACCGGCUAACUUCGUG